This 574-nucleotide long non-coding RNA is filed under the name Rattus norvegicus (Norway rat). RNAcentral describes it as "long non-coding RNA NONRATT025427". The record is from RNAcentral. Lineage: Eukaryota; Metazoa; Chordata; Mammalia; Rodentia; Muridae.
ACUUGAGGGGCAUACCGUGCUGUCGUCACAAAAUUAUAAAUCCUAACAGUGAAUCAUGGACAGUCUCCACCCCCGUCCCGACCCAUGAUCCACAAAAUAUGUUAUUUAGAUAUCCAGAGUUAGUCAGAUAUAGGGUUUUAAACGGAUGCAUUUCCUCUUUGGGGCACCUGGUAAUUAGCAUAAUAGCCUCUGGGGCCCCGCCUCCCCAUGCUGGGUGCCAUAGAUCAUGUGUUCAUCAGGGAAGCAGCUCCUACUCCCCAGAGGACCAAGAACAAAGGAACUGGCAGGCUGUAGAGGAGAGGCUGCCCAGUCAACAGUGUAUUAAAGACACCCAUUAGUUGCCUCAAUCAGCUAAUUAGCUCAACAAAUGCAAAAUAAAUCAUUAAACAAAGUGGUCCUGAUUGCAUUGCUGGCUUCUGAUUUGGUGUCACUAACCCAGCAGGGGGAACAGGGUUGUUCAACAGAAAACAAAAGCUGUCUACACUUGGGAGCUAGAAAGUGAUGGGACUUAAUUUUUUAUGAAAGUUGUGGUCUGUCAGGAGGUUUCGCUAACCAAAAAAAAAAAAAAAAAAAA